This 869-nucleotide ribosomal RNA is filed under the name Podospora austrohemisphaerica. RNAcentral's name for it is "LSU rRNA". It matches the Rfam family "Eukaryotic large subunit ribosomal RNA", at positions 35 to 929 of the family's 3401-position model. The record is from RNAcentral. Lineage: Eukaryota; Fungi; Ascomycota; Sordariomycetes; Sordariales; Podosporaceae.
UUAGCAUAUCAUUAGCGGAGGAAAAGAAACCAACAGGGAUUGCCCCAGUAACGGCGAGUGAAGCGGCAACAGCUCAAAUUUGAAAUCCGGCCCCCCGGGCCCGAGUUGUAAUUUGCAGAGGAAGCUUUGGGCGCGGCCCCCACCGAGUCCCCUGGAACGGGGCGCCAUAGAGGGUGAGAGCCCCGUAUGGUGGGAGGCCCAGCCCGUGUAAAGCUCCUUCGACGAGUCGAGUAGUUUGGGAAUGCUGCUCUAAACGGGAGGUAAAUUUCUUCUAAAGCUAAAUACUGGCCAGAGACCGAUAGCGCACAAGUAGAGUGAUCGAAAGAUGAAAAGCACUUUGAAAAGAGGGUUAAACAGCACGUGAAAUUGUUGAAAGGGAAGCGCUUGUGACCAGACUUGCGCCGGGCGGAUCAUCCGGUGUUCUCACCGGUGCACUCCGCCCGGGGCAGGCCAGCAUCGGUUUCCGCGGGGGGACAAAGGCCCGGGGAACGUAGCUCCCCUCGGGGAGUGUUAUAGCCCCGGGCGCAACGCCCUGGCGGGGACCGAGGACCGCGCCGUCUACGGCAAGGAUGCUGGCGUAAUGGUCAUCAGCGACCCGUCUUGAAACACGGACCAAGGAGUCAAGGUUUUGCGCGAGUGUUUGGGUGUCAAACCCGCACGCGUAAUGAAAGUGAACGUAGGUGAGAGCUUCGGCGCAUCAUCGACCGAUCCUGAUGUCUUCGGAUGGAUUUGAGUAGGAGCGUUAAGCCUUGGACCCGAAAGAUGGUGAACUAUGCUUGGAUAGGGUGAAGCCAGAGGAAACUCUGGUGGAGGCUCGCAGCGGUUCUGACGUGCAAAUCGAUCGUCAAAUCUGAGCAUGGGGGCGAAAG